RNAcentral lists this signal recognition particle RNA (266 nucleotides) under Clostridiales bacterium. RNAcentral's name for it is "signal recognition particle sRNA large type". It matches the Rfam family "Bacterial large signal recognition particle RNA". From Rfam's summary of the family: The signal recognition particle (SRP) is a universally conserved ribonucleoprotein involved in the co-translational targeting of proteins to membranes. Lineage: Bacteria; Bacillati; Bacillota; Clostridia; Eubacteriales. The record is from RNAcentral. RNAcentral also lists the same sequence under 1 other name.
CUGUGCUAGACGGGGAGGUAGCGGUGCCCUGUAACCCGCAACCCGCUAUAGCGGGGUUGAAUUCCUGUCCGAGGUUUGUUGUCUGUAAGGUCCGGCCCGUGUAAGUGGCGAUGAUGACCGGGUCCUGCGCAACAGAGAUCCAUGAACCCUGUCAGGUCCGGAAGGAAGCAGCAGUAAGUGGACCCCUUUGUGUGCCGCAGGGAAGCCUGGUAGGAGUUAACUGCCCGGUUCCCGCUUAUGGGUGCAAAUCGGAGACAGGUGCACAG